This 305-nucleotide unclassified non-coding RNA is filed under the name Hevea brasiliensis (rubber tree). The record is from RNAcentral. Lineage: Eukaryota; Viridiplantae; Streptophyta; Magnoliopsida; Malpighiales; Euphorbiaceae.
GAGAGAGAGAGAGAGAGAUUAGGAGAGGCUUUGUGGGUUUCUCUUGCACAUGCCACUAGCGAGGCACCCAACAAGUGAAAAAGGAGUCUCUCUAUCUCUCUCUGUCUCACCAAGACACAAGGAGAGAGAGAGAGAAAGUGGUUGGCAGGGAUUAGUCAACAUGGUAAUAUAUCAAUACCAUGUUAUGAUAAACUUCUUGAAUUCUAAUAAAACAAAAAAAGAAAAGGAAAAAAGAAAAAAAAUCAUAGCUUGAAAUUGGUGCUCUAUGAUUGAAUUCACAAAAAGCAUGCAAAAUGCAAGUGGGA